UGGCUGCAGUGGGGAAUUUUGGACAAUGGGCGAAAGCCUGAUCCAGCAAUACCGCGUGCAGGAAGAAGGCCCUCGGGUUGUAAACUGCUUUUGUACGGAACGAAACGGCGUGCUCUAAUAAAGUGCGCUAAUGACGGUACCGUAAGAAUAAGCACCGGCUAACUACGUGCCAGCAGCCGCGGUAAUACGUAGGGUGCAAGCGUUAAUCGGAAUUACUGGGCGUAAAGCGUGCGCAGGCGGUUUUGUAAGACAGGCGUGAAAUCCCCGGGCUUAACCUGGGAAUUGCGCUUGUGACUGCAAGGCUAGAGUACGGUAGAGGGGGGUAGAAUUCCGCGUGUAGCAGUGAAAUGCGUAGAUAUGCGGAGGAACACCGAUGGCGAAGGCAGCCCCCUGGACCUGUACUGACGCUCAUGCACGAAAGCGUGGGGAGCAAACAGGAUUAGAUACCCGGGUAGUC
RNAcentral lists this ribosomal RNA (457 nucleotides) under uncultured Comamonadaceae bacterium. RNAcentral describes it as "bacterial SSU rRNA". It matches the Rfam family "Bacterial small subunit ribosomal RNA", at positions 346 to 795 of the family's 1533-position model. Lineage: Bacteria; Pseudomonadati; Pseudomonadota; Betaproteobacteria; Burkholderiales; Comamonadaceae. The record is from RNAcentral.